RNAcentral lists this ribosomal RNA (433 nucleotides) under uncultured bacterium. RNAcentral describes it as "partial 16S ribosomal RNA". It matches the Rfam family "Bacterial small subunit ribosomal RNA", at positions 29 to 507 of the family's 1533-position model. The record is from RNAcentral.
AACGAACGCUGGCGGCAUGCCUAACACAUGCAAGUCGAACGAGACCUUCGGGUCUAGUGGCGCAAGGGUGCGUAACGCGUGGGAACCUGCCCUUAGGUUCGGAAUAACUCCCCGAAAGGGGUGCUAAUACCGGAUAAUGUCUUCGGACCAAAGAUUUAUCGCCUUUGGAUGGGCCCGCGUUGGAUUAGCUAGUUGGUAGGGUAAAAGCCUACCAAGGCGAGGAUCCAUAGCUGGUUUGAGAGGCUGAUCAGCCACACUGGGACUGAGACACGGCCCAGAAUCCUACGGGAUGGGGCAGAGGGGAAUAGUGGACAAUGGGCGGAAGGCUGAUCCAGCUAUGCCGCGUGAGUGAUGAAGGCCUUAGGGUUGUAAAGCUCUUUUACCCGGGAUGAUAAUGACGGUACCGGGAGAAUAAGCUCCGGCUAACUCCGUG